Molecule: ribosomal RNA, 497 nt
Filed under: uncultured bacterium
Lineage: Bacteria
Description: partial 16S ribosomal RNA
Rfam family: Bacterial small subunit ribosomal RNA
Source: RNAcentral
GAUGAACGCUGGCGGCGUGCCUAAUACAUGCAAGUCGAGCGAACGGACGAGAAGCUUGCUUCUCUGAUGUUAGCGGCGGACGGGUGAGUAACACGUGGAUAACCUACCUAUAAUACUGGGAUAACUUCGGGAAACCGGAGCUAAUACCGGAUAAUAUUUUGAACCGCAUGGUUCAAAAGUGAAAGACGGUCUUUCUGUCACUUAUAGAUGGAUCCGCGCUGCAUUAGCUAGUUGGUAAGGUAACGGCUUACCAAGGCAACGAUGCAUAGCCGACCUGAGAGGGUGAUCGGCCACACUGGAACUGAGACACGGUCAAGACUCCUACGGGAGGCAGCAGUAGGGAAUCUUCCGCAAUGGGCGAAAGCAUGACGGAGCAACGCCGCGUGAGUGAUGAAGGUCUUCGGAUCGUAAAACUCUGUUAUUAGGGAAGAACAUAUGUGUAAGUAACUGUGCACAUCUUGACGGUACCUAAUCAGAAAGCCACGGCUAACUACGUG